CGGACGGGUGAGUAACGCGUGAGAAUUUACCAAAAGGACUGGGACAACCACUGGAAACGGUGGCUAAUACCAGAUGAGCCGAAAAGUAAAAAGGGAAACCUGCCUUUUGAAGAGCUCGCGUCUGAUUAGCUAGUUGGUGAGGUAAGAGCUCACCAAGGCAUCGAUCAGUAGCUGGUCUGAGAGGAUGACCAGCCACACUGGGACUGAGACACGGCCCAGACUCCUACGGGAGGCAGCAGUGGGGAAUUUUCCGCAAUGGGCGAAAGCCUGACGGAGCAAUACCGCGUGAGGGAAGAAGGCUCUUGGGUCGUAAACCUCUUUUAUCAGGGAAGAAAAAAAUGACGGUACCUGAAGAAUCAGCCUCGGCUAACUCCGUGCCAGCAGCCGCGGUAAUACGGAGGAGGCAAGCGUUAUCCGGAAUUAUUGGGCGUAAAGCGUCCGCAGGUGGCUUAUCAAGUCUGCUGUCAAAGAGUGGGGCUUAACCCCAUUAAGGCAGUGGAAACUGAGAAGCUAGAGUGCCGUAGGGGUAGAGGGAAUUCCCGGUGUAGCGGUGAAAUGCGUAGAGAUCGGGAAGAACAUCGGUGGCGAAAGCGCUCUACUGGACGGCAACUGACACUCAGGGACGAAAGCUAGGGGAGCGAAUGGGAUUAGAUACCCCAGUAGUC
Molecule: ribosomal RNA, 665 nt
Filed under: Microcoleus steenstrupii COL109
Lineage: Bacteria; Bacillati; Cyanobacteriota; Cyanophyceae; Oscillatoriales; Microcoleaceae
Description: bacterial SSU rRNA
Rfam family: Bacterial small subunit ribosomal RNA
Source: RNAcentral